This 28-nucleotide small RNA is filed under the name Bombyx mori (domestic silkworm). RNAcentral's name for it is "ovarian small RNA-29982". Lineage: Eukaryota; Metazoa; Arthropoda; Insecta; Lepidoptera; Bombycidae. The record is from RNAcentral.
UCUGCGUAGUGAGGAGAAAGGAGGCGCU